Leptolinea tardivitalis is the source of this 405-nucleotide non-coding RNA. It matches the Rfam family "Bacterial RNase P class A". From Rfam's summary of the family: Ribonuclease P (RNase P) is a ubiquitous endoribonuclease, found in archaea, bacteria and eukarya as well as chloroplasts and mitochondria. Its best characterised activity is the generation of mature 5'-ends of tRNAs by cleaving the 5'-leader elements of precursor-tRNAs. The record is from Rfam. Lineage: Bacteria; Bacillati; Chloroflexota; Anaerolineae; Anaerolineales; Anaerolineaceae.
CAGGCUGGCUGGAUGAUCGCGUCAUCACCUUGAGUGGUGCCGAGGAAAGUCCGCGCUGCACAGGGCAGGGUGACGGGUAACCCCCGCCGCGGGUAACCGUGGGACAGGGCCACAGAAACAUACCGCUUCCGUGAGGGAGUAAGGGUGAAAAGGCGGUGUAAAAGACCACCGGCGACGCCGUGAUGCGCCGGCCAGGCAACCCCCACCAGCAGCAAGGUCAAGCAGGGAUGAAGCGCUCUUCGGAGUGCGGGGAGCGGCCCGUUCCCCCGUUUCGGCGAUAAUCCCGGGUAGACUGCUUGAGCGGUAUGGCAACAUACCGUCGAGAGAGAUGAUCAUCCACGAGGAGACCGUCUGUGAAGAUACCUCUCCUCCGGACAGAACGCGGCUUACAGGCCAACCAGACAC